Molecule: unclassified non-coding RNA, 418 nt
Filed under: Hevea brasiliensis (rubber tree)
Lineage: Eukaryota; Viridiplantae; Streptophyta; Magnoliopsida; Malpighiales; Euphorbiaceae
Source: RNAcentral
GAUCUAGGGUUUCCUCUUUUCACAGCCACUUUGGUCCCAUCUUCAAGUGUUCCCUUGUAGACCCUGCCAAAGCCACCAACCCCAAGCAGCAGGUUCUCAUCAAACUUGUUGGUUGCAUCAAGAAUUUCUUGGAAUGAGAAGAAUCUACCAAGAUUCGAGGAGGCCAAUGAAAUGAAGCUCGCUGUUCCACUCUUUUGAGAAGCUGUGGACACCUUUGUCAUGGUCUGAGAAUUUCCAUACAAGGGCAAAGGCAGCCAUGGAUGGCCCUGGUGAGUGGUCUUCGACUUGCGGACCACCAAGCAACAGUAACAGAAAACACUAAGAGCAAAUGCAGCUACAGCUCCAGCAACUGAACCAAUUAUGAUUCCUAUCUUACUUUUCUUUGAGAGUGAUUCAGGAAGAAGGCUCUCAACAGAAG